AUUAACCUGUGAUCAGGUGAAUCAAGCUGCUUAAGUGACAGCCUUACCAAGACAAUAGGGAAGAGAUACCUGCCCCCAUCCCCCAUAAAAGGACUGAAUAAAACACUGUAGGGAGCUGCUCAGAAGCACACCAUCACAUCAAAGAAGCCAGCAAUGAGAAGAAUAAUUUUACUUAAUUUCAAAAUCAUGCAUCAGCGUCUUUUGCAGUGAGUCGACUCUGCGCAUCAGGUGGCCAAAGUAUUGGAGCUUCAGCAUCAGUCCUUCCACUGAAUAUUCAGAGUUGAUUUCCUUUAGGACUGACUGGUUUGAUCUCUCAAGAGUCUUCUCCAGCACCACAAUUAUAAAGCAUCAAUUCAGUUAGAGU
Long non-coding RNA from Bos taurus (domestic cattle), 364 nucleotides. Lineage: Eukaryota; Metazoa; Chordata; Mammalia; Artiodactyla; Bovidae. The record is from Ensembl.